This 403-nucleotide unclassified non-coding RNA is filed under the name Hevea brasiliensis (rubber tree). The record is from RNAcentral. Lineage: Eukaryota; Viridiplantae; Streptophyta; Magnoliopsida; Malpighiales; Euphorbiaceae.
GCAAGAGGUCUUACAAAAUUGGUUAUACACAAAUGAACAACAUCCAUCUUACAACAAUACAAAAAUGAAGUUUUUUCAGUGAUAAAUGUACAUCAAGAUCUUGAAAUCAUAUACAGUGUUGGUUUUGCACAAGAUUGGCAAAGACUACGCGACCUAUGUGGCUUAAUGUAUGUUACCUGCAUAAUUGGAACUUCAGUGCAUUGCCAUAGAAAACUUCAUGACUUAUCGGUUGUAACUGGAGAUUAGUCACCUAGAAGACACAGUGGUUGCCUCAUGCUAAGUUCAGCCUUGAUGUUUGGAUAUUUCUCCAGAUCAAGGGAAUCACCCAAAAUUUUCAAAGCAGCAAGAUGUGCAUCUUGUAUGAUAUUUCCAUCUAUCUCUAACCGAGCAAUAGGAAACUCUG